CAGAAAGCAGCAGAAGCAAGUGGACAGAGAGAGAAAGGUGGAAACAUGUCUCAGAAAGAAGAACAUCGUUUGUUAUCACACUGCUAAUAAUCAUAUAGAGUGUACCUGGUUCGGCACAGCUGUUUAUCACUCUCUUUGGUUUCACUUUUUCUGCAUCACACAGACCAAUCUGCAUCAAUGAAGAUCUGGAUUUUAAUGUUUUUUUGCGUCCUGUUAUCCAUGGCACUGUCAGUGUUAAUCCAGGUCCAACAACAAAUGAUAAUCACGAUGAACAAUAAGAACGAAACGUUUACAAUGACAUUCAAGAAACUUAAUAAACAACUUUCAAAUUUAGACACGGUAAAAGUUGAGUUGGUCAGGCUGACUGUUUUUGCGCAAGAAGAGACAAAGGAUCUUGAGGCUCAACCUGUUCCAGAUGUGGAUAAGCAGAAACAAGAACUUGACGCCUGUCGAGCUGAAAAGCAAAUUUAAAAUCAGAGUCUGAUGCCUGGGAGCAAGAGAUUCAAAGCCUGAAAUCACACAUUUCGGGGUACAGGCCAAUAUGUGAUCAUGUCAAGAAUGUCCCAUUGGCUGUGAAAUUAUGUGGCACCAAAAAUAAACCUGUCGAUAAAGGAGAGAAGGCAUCUUGGAUCUCCACAACGCCAGUAAUUCACAAUUGAUCCAAGAGUUAGGUUUAUGAUGAUAUUAGUGUCAUUCCUGUUACUGCUGUAUAAAAGGAUAAUAUGUUUUUCAGCUCAAAUGUAUAAAACUGCCAGUACAUGGAUAAUACUUCUUCCAGUUGCAGAGUAUAAAGAAAGAAUAAUUGGAGUUUAUCAUUAUACUAAAUUGAUAGUGAAUUAUUAUGGCUCAUGUUACUGUUUGUAUAGUUCUUGCAAGUUCUUGUUGACAUAUACUUAUAUUAAAUUAUUAGACUUUU
This is a long non-coding RNA of Gymnodraco acuticeps, 916 nucleotides long. RefSeq lists it as uncharacterized. The record is from RefSeq and is a predicted model, not a curated record. The transcript has 3 exons. NCBI's taxonomy places the organism in Eukaryota, Metazoa, Chordata, Actinopteri, Perciformes, Bathydraconidae.